GAUGAACGUUGGCGGCGUGCCUAAUACAUGCAAGUCGAACGAAGACUGUAGUAAUACUGUCUUAGUGGCGAACGGGUGAGUAACGCGUGGGUGACCUGCCCCGAAGUGUGGGAUAACAGUUCGAAAGAACUGCUAAUACCGCAUAAUAUCCAAGAGAUUAGACGCUUUUGGAUUAAAGGAGUAAUUCGCUUCGGGAGGGGCCCGCGUCCCAUCAGCUAGUUGGUAAGGUAAUGGCUUACCAAGGCGAUGACGGGUAGGGGACCUGAGAGGGUGGCCCCCCACAAUGGAACUGAAACACGGUCCAUACACCUACGGGUGGCAGCAGUAGGGAAUAUUAGUAAUGGGCGAAAGCCUGAACUAGCAACGCCGCGUGUGCGAAGAAGGCCUUCGGUUGUAAAGCACUUUUGUAGAGGAUGAGGAAGGACGGUACUCUCAGAAUAAGUCUCGGCUAACUACGUG
Molecule: ribosomal RNA, 459 nt
Filed under: uncultured bacterium
Lineage: Bacteria
Description: bacterial SSU rRNA
Rfam family: Bacterial small subunit ribosomal RNA
Source: RNAcentral